GGAGAGGUGCUGGAGCUGGUUGAACAGGCCGGUCUCGAAAACCGGUGUGCCCUCACGGGUACCGUGGGUUCGAAUCCCACCCUCUCCGCCA
Molecule: transfer RNA, 91 nt
Filed under: Gemmatimonadota bacterium
Lineage: Bacteria; Pseudomonadati; Gemmatimonadota
Description: tRNA-Ser
Rfam family: tRNA
About the family: Transfer RNA (tRNA) molecules are approximately 80 nucleotides in length. Their secondary structure includes four short double-helical elements and three loops (D, anti-codon, and T loops). Further hydrogen bonds mediate the characteristic L-shaped molecular structure. tRNAs have two regions of fundamental functional importance: the anti-codon, which is responsible for specific mRNA codon recognition, and the 3' end, to which the tRNAs corresponding amino acid is attached (by aminoacyl-tRNA synthetases). tRNAs cope with the degeneracy of the genetic code in two manners: having more than one tRNA (with a specific anti-codon) for a particular amino acid; and 'wobble' base-pairing, i.e. permitting non-standard base-pairing at the 3rd anti-codon position.
Source: RNAcentral